This 432-nucleotide ribosomal RNA is filed under the name uncultured bacterium. Its description in RNAcentral is "partial 16S ribosomal RNA". It matches the Rfam family "Bacterial small subunit ribosomal RNA", at positions 29 to 507 of the family's 1533-position model. The record is from RNAcentral.
ACGAACGCUGGCGGCAGGCUUCACACAUGCAAGUCGAACGGAUCCUUCGGGAUUAGUGGCAGACGGGUGAGUAACGCGUGGGAACGUACCCUUUGCUACGGAAUAACUCAGGGAAACUUGAGCUAAUACCGUAUGUGCCCUACGGGGGAAAGAUUUAUCGGCAAAGGAUCGGCCCGCGUUGGAUUAGCUAGUUGGUGGGGUAAUGGCCUACCAAGGCGACGAUCCAUAGCUGGUCUGAGAGGAUGAUCAGCCACACUGGGACUGAGACACGGCCCAGACUCCUACGGGAGGCAGCAGUGGGGAAUAUUGGACAAUGGGCGCAAGCCUGAUCCAGCCAUGCCGCGUGAGUGAUGAAGGUCUUAGGAUUGUAAAGCUCUUUCACCGGUGAAGAUAAUGACGGUAGCCGGAGAAGAAGCCCCGGCUAACUUCGUG